Molecule: transfer RNA, 73 nt
Filed under: Bos taurus (domestic cattle)
Lineage: Eukaryota; Metazoa; Chordata; Mammalia; Artiodactyla; Bovidae
Also listed under: 2 other names
Rfam family: tRNA
About the family: Transfer RNA (tRNA) molecules are approximately 80 nucleotides in length. Their secondary structure includes four short double-helical elements and three loops (D, anti-codon, and T loops).
Source: Rfam by way of RNAcentral
UCCCUGGUGGUCCAGUGGCUAAGACUCUACGCUCCCGAUGCAGAGGGCCCGGGUUCAAUUCCUGGACAGGGAA